This 856-nucleotide ribosomal RNA is filed under the name Bipolaris zeicola. RNAcentral's name for it is "eukaryotic LSU rRNA". It matches the Rfam family "Eukaryotic large subunit ribosomal RNA", at positions 67 to 941 of the family's 3401-position model. Lineage: Eukaryota; Fungi; Ascomycota; Dothideomycetes; Pleosporales; Pleosporaceae. The record is from RNAcentral.
AACAGGGAUUGCCCUAGUAACGGCGAGUGAAGCGGCAACAGCUCAAAUUUGAAAUCUGGCUCUUUCAGAGUCCGAGUUGUAAUUUGCAGAGGGCGCUUUGGCUUUGGCAGCGGUCCAAGUUCCUUGGAACAGGACGUCACAGAGGGUGAGAAUCCCGUACGUGGUCGCUAGCUAUUGCCGUGUAAAGCCCCUUCGACGAGUCGAGUUGUUUGGGAAUGCAGCUCUAAAUGGGAGGUAAAUUUCUUCUAAAGCUAAAUAUUGGCCAGAGACCGAUAGCGCACAAGUAGAGUGAUCGAAAGAUGAAAAGCACUUUGGAAAGAGAGUCAAACAGCACGUGAAAUUGUUGAAAGGGAAGCGCUUGCAGCCAGACUUGCUUGCAGUUGCUCAUCCGGGCUUUUGCCCGGUGCACUCUUCUGUAGGCAGGCCAGCAUCAGUUUGGGCGGUGGGAUAAAGGUCUCUGUCACGUACCUCUCUUCGGGGAGGCCUUAUAGGGGAGACGACAUACCACCAGCCUAGACUGAGGUCCGCGCAUCUGCUAGGAUGCUGGCGUAAUGGCUGUAAGCGGCCCGUCUUGAAACACGGACCAAGGAGUCUAACAUCUAUGCGAGUGUUUGGGUGUCAAGCCCGAGCGCGUAAUGAAAGUGAACGGAGGUGGGAACCCGCAAGGGUGCACCAUCGACCGAUCCUGAAGUUUACGGAAGGAUUUGAGUAAGAGCAUGGCUGUUGGGACCCGAAAGAUGGUGAACUAUGCUUGAAUAGGGUGAAGCCAGAGGAAACUCUGGUGGAGGCUCGCAGCGGUUCUGACGUGCAAAUCGAUCGUCAAAUUUGGGCAUAGGGGCGAAAGACUAAUCGAACU